UUUCCGGUUGAUCCUGCCGGACCUGACUGCUAUCGGAUUGAUACUAAGCCAUGCGAGUCUUUGUAGUAAUACAAGGCAGACGGCUCAGUAACACGUAGUCAACCUACCCUAUGGACAAGAAUAAUCUCGGGAAACUGGGCAUAAUUCUUGAUAGAUCAUAAUGCCUGGAAUGGUUUAUGGUUAAAAUGAUUCGUCGCCAUAGGAUGGGACUGCGGCCUAUCAGCUUGUUGGUGAGGUAAUGGCCCACCAAGGCGAUUACAGGUACGGGCUCUGAGAGGAGAAGCCCGGAGAUGGGUACUGAGACACGGACCCAGGCCCUAUGGGGCGCAGCAGGCGAGAAAACUUUGCAAUGUGCGAAAGCACGACAAGGUUAAUCCGAGUGAUUUCUGCUAAAGAAAUCUUUUGCCAGUCAUAAAACCACUGGUGAAUAAGGGGUGGGCAAGUUCUGGUGUCAGCCGCCGCGGUAAAACCAGCACCUCAAGUGGUCAGGAUGAUUAUUGGGCCUAAAGCAUCCGUAGCCGGCUUUGUAAGUUUUCGGUUAAAUCCAUGUGCUCAACGCAUGGGCUGCCGAAAAUACUGCAUGGCUAGGGAGUGGGAGAGGUAGACGGUACUCAGUAGGAAGGGGUAAAAUCCUUUGAUCUAUUGAUGACCACCUGUGGCGAAGGCGGUCUACCAGAACACGUUCGACGGUGAGGGAUGAAAGCUGGGGGAGCAAACCGGAUUAGAUACCCGGGUAGUCCCAGCUGUAAACGAUGCAGACUCGAUGAUGCAUUGGCAUAAUAGCCAGUGCAGUGUCGCAGGGAAGCCGUUAAGUCUGCCGCCUGGGAAGUACGUACGCAAGUAUGAAACUUAAAGGAAUUGGCGGGGGAGCACCACAAGGGGUGAAGCCUGCGGUUCAAUUGGAGUCAACGCCGGAA
RNAcentral lists this ribosomal RNA (917 nucleotides) under uncultured archaeon. RNAcentral describes it as "SSU rRNA". It matches the Rfam family "Archaeal small subunit ribosomal RNA", at positions 1 to 923 of the family's 1478-position model. The record is from RNAcentral.